AGAGGCAGCUGGGGAAUGUGACCAGGAGCCCAGUGAAGAAGAGCUCUGCGAACAGGAGCUUAGUGAGGAAGAGCCUAAUGACAAAGAAGAUGCCACAGUUCCUGGGACUGAAACACAGAUAUAACAUAUUGUAGUCAUUUUGCAUUUCUUUGCAAACAUUCAGGUACACUGAUGUUACCAAAAGCUUUUAGAAAAGCAGCAGCUGAUAUAUUAAUAUCAAUAAUAAUAAAUGUUAUUUGUAACACACUUUUAUUCAGGGAGUCUCAGAGUGCUACAGGAAAACACAUUUAAAAUCAUUAACAAUUAUAAGCUUUCUUAAAAAGGUUUUUCAGUUUAGCUUUAAAAGAGCUGCUGCAAAGCCUUAGCACAGCAGUGUAGUUGUAUUUCGCUAAGAGGAUGAACUAUAAAACUGAAAAUAGUUGUCUGCGUAAAUCAAACAUGAUGCUGAUGCAUGGUGAACUGACAACUUAAAAAAUGCUCUAUUCAUGUACUUUAAAAAACAAAAACAAAUAAGGAGCAAAUAAUACAAUAAAUCUAGGAUAUAAUUAUUUAGCUUCAUAGUAUAGUCCCUAAAAGCAAACACAUUAACUCAGAUGUGAGCGUUCAGAAUUUGCAGUGUUUCUCUUUAACAGCUCAGAAAUUAAAAUGUUGGGCUUUGGCACUUUUUAUAGAAAAAAAUGAAAAAAUAAAUUGAGAUUAUGAAGUAGUGGUUGCAGCUCUGCUUAUUUGUAUAUUGAGAGUGAUUAAACUGUGAUGUGUUUAGAUGUCUCAGAAAGGAGAGCUGUCCAAAGUCCUCGGGGUCAGAAAUCAUCACCAGGACAAAGACGAGACUGCCCAACAAGACAUCAGCCAGCCUCAAAAGGAAAAUCGGUUGUAAAGAGGAAAUGGACAGCGAAGGAAAUUGGGGCUGUUGAGAAGAAGCUGAUGAGGUUCAUUCGCUCUGGCCAGGUUCCAGGUAAAAGGGAAUGUGAGGAUUGUUUGAAUGCUGAUCCUGACACUCUCAGAGACAGAGACUGGAAAAGCGUCAAAUACUAUAUACACAACCGGAUCGUUGCAAGCAAGAGAGAGUUAACAUCACACAGCUGA
This 1086-nucleotide long non-coding RNA is filed under the name Gouania willdenowi (blunt-snouted clingfish). RNAcentral's name for it is "lncRNA (ENSGWIG00000016540.1)". The record is from RNAcentral. Lineage: Eukaryota; Metazoa; Chordata; Actinopteri; Blenniiformes; Gobiesocidae.